Molecule: ribosomal RNA, 425 nt
Filed under: uncultured bacterium
Lineage: Bacteria
Description: bacterial SSU rRNA
Rfam family: Bacterial small subunit ribosomal RNA
Source: RNAcentral
GUGGGGAAUUUUGCGCAAUGGGGGAAACCCUGACGCAGCGACGCCGCGUGGAGGACGAAGGCCUUCGGGUUGUAAACUUCUUUUCUGGGGGAAGAUAGUGACGGUACCCCAGGAAUAAGCCACGGCUAACUCUGUGCCAGCAGCCGCGGUAAGACAGAGGUGGCAAGCGUUGUUCGGAAUUACUGGGCUUAAAGGGCGCGUAGGCGGUAGGGCAAGUCCGUGGUGGAAGCCUACGGCUUAACCGUAGAAUUGCCAUGGAAACUGCUUUACUUGAGUCAGUGAGGGGAGGGCGGAAUUCCUGGUGUAGCAGUGAAAUGCGUAGAUAUCAGGAGGAAGGCCGGUGGCGAAGGCGGCCCUCUGGCGCUUGACUGACGCUGAGGCGCGAAAGCGUGGGGAGCAAACAGGAUUAGAUACCCGGGUAGUCC